AAUCCGCACCGGCCGUCCCCCUUUCGGCCUGCGCGGAGCCGGGGAACCACCAUCUGGGAUCCACGGCCGUCCAGGACAUCUCGCUUCGCACGGCGGAGCCAUGCCCUGGGCCGCCUUCAACGGGAUCCCUUGGGGCGAAUCAGCGCUUCCCGCGCUGUAGGGCGGCCUCCACGCCCGAGCCCGACAGCUAACCCGGCCGGCCUUAUGGAAGGAACCA
Molecule: small RNA, 217 nt
Filed under: Streptosporangium roseum
Lineage: Bacteria; Bacillati; Actinomycetota; Actinomycetes; Streptosporangiales; Streptosporangiaceae
Also listed under: 1 other name
Description: c-di-AMP sequence
Rfam family: c-di-AMP riboswitch aptamer (ydaO/yuaA leader)
About the family: This family represents a conserved RNA structure found upstream of the ydaO and yuaA genes in Bacillus subtilis and related genes in other bacteria. The ydaO/yuaA element is thought to act as a genetic "off" switch for the ydaO and yuaA genes in its native state.
Source: RNAcentral